This 202-nucleotide ribosomal RNA is filed under the name uncultured Bacillota bacterium. RNAcentral's name for it is "uncultured Firmicutes bacterium partial 16S ribosomal RNA". It matches the Rfam family "Bacterial small subunit ribosomal RNA", at positions 293 to 512 of the family's 1533-position model. Lineage: Bacteria; Bacillati; Bacillota. The record is from RNAcentral.
UGAGAGACUCUACGGCCACAUUGGGACUGAGAUACGGCCCAGACUCCUACGGGAGGCAGCAGUCGGGAAUAUUGCGCAAUGGAGGAAACUCUGACGCAGUGACGCCGCGUGCAGGAAGAAGGUUUUCGGAUUGUAAACUGCUUUAGACAGGGAAGAAAAAGACAGUACCCGUAGAAUAAGCUCCGGCUAACUACGUGCCAGC